Oreochromis niloticus (Nile tilapia) is the source of this 499-nucleotide long non-coding RNA. RefSeq lists it as uncharacterized. NCBI's taxonomy places the organism in Eukaryota, Metazoa, Chordata, Actinopteri, Cichliformes, Cichlidae. The record is from RefSeq and is a predicted model, not a curated record. The transcript is spliced from 3 exons.
GGCAGCGCACCUGGAGUUAAUUCAUAGCAAUCAACAGAGGGUAUAUAUGGCCAGCUUCACCGUCGCCUUAACGCCAGUUCGUCAACCCACCUAAAUCCACUGGCCCACUAUGCCACGACACCACCACUAAGAUUCACGUUUUGGAUUCUGGUCACAAACCCUCACAGGAUUUUCAGCCACACUCCAGGGAGUAUCACCAACCGCACUGACCUGCCUGCCCUCCUUCCAUCACCACCCACGCGAGUCCUGGAAUACUCAGGUCAGACCUUCUUAACACUCCUCUGCCAGUCAUCCGGACCUCUGCCUCCCCCUCCAAGCCUCAGCAGCCUCCUGCCCAAUGCACCAGUCGCCGCUUAUGUCAUGUACCUCGGGCUACCGCGCUACAAUUCUCUACCUAGUAUUAUAUUGUGUAUCAAGAUACGCCAAGGUUCUAGGUUUUGUUUCUCCUUGUCAGUCCUGUGUCGUUGUAAAUAAAAGCUUCUUUAGUUCAACUGUUCUG